This 11130-nucleotide long non-coding RNA is filed under the name Hordeum vulgare. RNAcentral describes it as "long non-coding RNA (HVUL_LNC020883)". The record is from RNAcentral. Lineage: Eukaryota; Viridiplantae; Streptophyta; Magnoliopsida; Poales; Poaceae.
AUGCUCUUUCUUGAUUUCUACUUCUGCAGAAUUGAGCACCGAGUACAACUCGGGAAUGGUCUUCUCCAUCCCUUGCAUGUUGUAGUUAAGCACAAAGCCUUUGUAGCUUGGUGGGAGAGACUGGAGGAUUCUGUCAAUUAUAGCAUCAUCCGGAAGUUCGACUCCAAGUGAAGUCAGACGACCGUGUAACCCAGACAUUUUGAGUAUGUGCUCACUGACAGAACUGUUCUCUUCCAUCUUACAGCUAAAGAACUUGUCGGAGACUUCAUAUCUCUCGGCACGGGCAUGAGCUUGAAAAACUAGCUUCAUCUCCUGGAACAUCUCAUAUGCCUCAUGUUGCUCAAAACGCCUUUGGAGCCCCGUUUCUAAACUGUAUAACAUGCUACACCUAACCAGAGAGUAGUCAUCACUCCGCGUUUUCCAGACGUUCAGAAUGUCCUGGGCUGCUGCGGGAGCGGGAGGGUCACCUAGCGGCGCAUCAAGGACAUAAGCCUUUUUAGCUGCUUCAAGGACGAGCUUCAAGUUGCGAACCCAGUCCGCAUAGUUGCUACCAUCAUCUUUCAGCUUGUUUUUCUCUAGGAAUGCGUUGAAAUUGAGGUUGACGUUGGACAUCUACAAUAUUUAUAAAGACAACUUUUAGACUAAGUUCAUGACAAUUAAGUUCAUUUAAUCAAAUUAAAUAUGAACUCCCACUUAAAUCGACAUCCCUCUAGUCAUCUAAGUGAUACAUGAUCCAUGUUGACUAACCCGUGUCCGAUCAUCACGUGAGACGGACUAGUCACCAUGGUGAGCAACUCCAUGCUGAUCGUAUUCAACCAUACGAAUCAUGUUCGACCUUUCGGUCUCUUGUAUUCGAGGUCAUGUCUGUACAUGCUAAGCUCGUCGAGUCAACCUNNNNNNNNNNNNNNNNNNNNNNNNNNNNNNNNNNNNNNNNNNNNNNNNNNNNNNNNNNNNNNNNNNNNNNNNNNNNNNNNNNNNNNNNNNNNNNNNNNNNGCGGAGACUGGCCAAGGACGAGGUGACGAUGCGCGUCGGGAAUGGUUCAAAGGUCGAUGUGAUCGCCGUCAGCACGCUGCCUCUACAUCUACCGUCGGGAUUAGUUUUAAACCUUAAUAAUUGUUAUUUAGUACCAGCUUUAAGCAUGAACAUUGUAUCAGGGUCUUGCUUAAUGCGAGACGGCUACUCAUUUAAGUCAGAGAAUAAUGGUUGUUCUAUUUAUAUGAGUGAUAUGUUUUAUGGUCAUGCUCCGCUGGUGAAUGGUUUAUUCUUGAUGAAUCUCGAUCGUGAUGUUACACAUAUUCAUAGUGUGAGUACCAAAAGAUGCAAAGUUGAUAAUGAUACUCCCACAUACUUGUGGCACUGCCGCCUUGGUCAUAUCGGCGUUAAGCGCAUGAAGAAGCUCCAUACUGAUGGACUAUUAGAGUCUCUUGACUUUGAAUCAUUUGACACAUGCGAACCGUGCCUCAUGGGCAAGAUGACUAAGACUCCAUUCUCAGGAAUAAUGGAGAGAGCAACCGACUUAUUGGAAAUAAUACAUAUUGAUGUGUGUGGUCCAAUGAACGUUGAAGCUCGCGGUGGUUAUCGUUAUGUUCUCACUCUCACCGAUGAUUUGAGUAGGUAUGGGUAUAUCUACUUGAUGAAGCACAAAUCUGAGACGUUUGAAAAGUUCAAGGAAUUUCAGAGUGAGGUUGAGAAUCAACGUGACAGAAAAAUUAAAUGUCUACGAUCUGAUCGUGGAGGAGAAUAUUUGAGUCACGAGUUUGGCACACACCUAAGGAAGUGUGGAAUCGUUUCACAACUGACGCCGCCUGGCACACCGCAGCGCAACGGAGUGUCUGAACGUCGUAAUCGCACUUUAUUAGAUAUGGUACGAUCUAUGAUGUCUCUCACCGACUUACCGCUAUCAUUUUGGGGAUACGCAUUAGAAACUGCAGCAUUCACUUUAAAUAGGGCACCGUCUAAAUCCGUUGAGACGACACCGUAUGAACUAUGGUUUGGCAAGAAACCUAAGUUGUCGUUUCUUAAAGUUUGGGGCUGCGAUGCUUAUGUGAAGAAACUUCAACUAGAAAAGCUCCAACCCAAAGAGGAGAAAUGCGUAUUCAUAGGAUACCCUAAGGAAACUAUUGGGUAUACCUUCUAUCUUAGAUCCGAAGGUAAAACCUUUGUUGCCAAGAACGGAUCCUUUCUAGAGAAAGAGUUUCUCUCGAAAGAAGUAAGUGGGAGGAAGGUAAAACUUGAUGAGGUAAUUGCACCCCCUCUCGAACAGGAAAGUAGCGCAGCGCGGGAAGUUGUUCCUGUGGCGCCUAUACCGAAUGAAGAGGAAGUUAAUGAUGAUGAUCAUGAAGCUUCGGAUCAAGUUACUACUGAACCGCGAAGGUCCACAAGGGCACGCUCCGCACCAGAGUGGUACGGCAACCCUGUGAUGGAAAUCAUGUUGUUAGACAAUGGUGAGCCUUCGAACUAUGAAGAAGCAAUGGCGGGCCCGGAUUCCAACAAAUGGCUUGAGGCUAUGAAAUCCGAGAUAGGAUCCAUGUAUGAGAACAAAGUAUGGACUUUGGUGGACUUGCCCGAUGACCGGCGAGCCAUAGAAAAUAAAUGGAUCUUCAAGAAGAAGACUGAUGCAAACGGUAAUGUAACCGUUUACAAAGCUCGACUUGUCGCAAAGGGUUUUCGACAAAUUCAAGGAGUUGACUACGAAGAGGCUUUCUCUCCCGUAGCGAAGCUGAAAUCAGUUCGAAUCAUGUUAGCAAUUGCCGCCUUUUAUGAUUAUGAAAUUUGGGAAAUGGACGUCAAAACAGCGUUCCUUAACGGGAACCUUAAGGAAGAGUUGUAUAUGAUGCAACCAGAAGGUUUUGUCGACCCUAAGGGUGCUAACAAAGUGUGCAAGCUCCAGCGCUCCAUCUAUGGGCUGGUGCAAGCAUCUCGGAGUUGGAACAUUCGCUUUAAUGAGGUAAUUAAAGCGUUUGGGUUCAUACAGGUUUACGGAGAAACCUGUCUGUACAAGAAAGUGAGUGGGAGCUCUGUAGCUUUCCUCAUACUAUAUGUGGAUGACAUAUUAUUGAUGGGGAAUAAUAUAGAGAUGUUGGAGAGCAUAAAGGCCUAUUUGAACAAGAGUUUUUCAAUGAAGGACCUUGGAGAAGCUGCAUACAUAUUAGGCAUCAAGAUCUAUAGAGAUAGAUCGAGACGCCUCAUAGGUCUUUCGUAAAGUACAUACCUUGACAAGAUAUUGAAGAAGUUCAAUAUGGAAAACUCAAAGAAAGGGUCAUUGCCAGUUUUGCAAGGUAUGAGAUUGAGUAAGACUCAGUCGCCGACCACGGCAGUAGAUAGAGAGAAGAUGAGUUAUGUCCCCUACGCUUCAGCCGUGGGCUCUCUAAUGUAUGCCAUGUUGUGUACCAGACCUGAUAUAAACCUUGCCAUAAGUUUGGUAGGGAGGUACCAAAGUAAUCCCGGUACGGAACACUCGACAGCGGUCAAGAAUAUCCUUAAGUACCUGAAAAGGACUAAGGAAAUAUUUCUCGUUUAUGGAGGUGACGAAGAGCUCGUCGUAAAGGGUUACGUCGACGCUAGCUUCGACAUAGAUCCGGAUGACUCUAAGUCACAGACCGGAUACGUAUAUGUGUUGAAUGGUGGGGCAGUGAGCUGGUGCAACAGCAAGCAAGAAGUCGUGGCAGCAUCUACAUGUGAAGCGGAGUACAUAGCUGCUUCAGAAGCGGCUCAUGAAGGAAUUUGGAUGAAGGAGCUCAUCACUGACCUUGGAGUGGUUCCAAGCGCGUCGGGUCCCAUGACACUCUUCUGUGAUAACACUGGAGCCAUUGCCAUAGCCAAGGAGCCCAGGUUUCACUGAAAGACGAAGCACAUCAAGCGCCGCUACAACUCCAUCCAGGACCAUGUCCAGAGUGGAGUGAUAGAUAUUUGUAAAGUACACACGGAUCUGAAUAUUGCAGACCCGUUGACUAAACCUCUUCCACGAGCAAAACAUGAUCAACACCAUAAUGCUAUGGGUGUUCGAUACAUCACAAUGUAACUAGAUUAUUGACUCUAGUGCAAGUGGGAGACUGUUGGAAAUAUGCCCUAGAGGCAAUAAUAAAAUGGUUAUUAUCAUAUUUCCUCGUUCAUGAUAAUCGUCUAUUGUUCAUGCUAUAAUUGUAUUAACAGGAAACAGUAAUACAUGUGUGAAUAAAUAGAUCACAAUGUGUCCCUAGGAAGCCUCUAGUUGGCUAGCUCGUUAGUCAAUAGAUGAUCAUGGUUUCCUGAUCAUGGGCAUUAGAUGUCAUUGAUAACGGGAUCACAUCAGUGGGAGAAUGAUGUGAUGGACAAGACCCAAUCCUAAGCCUAGCACUAGAUCGUAUUGUUCGUAUGCUAAUGCUUUUCUAAUGUCAAGUAUCUUUUCCUUCGACCGUGAGAUUGUGCAACUCCCAGAUGCCGUAGGAGUGCUUUGGGUGUAUCAAACGUCACAACGUAACUGGGUGACUAUAAAGGUGCACUACGGGUAGGGGGGGGGGGGGGGGUUGGGUUGGUACGAAUCGAGAUCGGGAUUUGUCACUCCGUGUGACGGAGAGGUAUCUCUGGGCCCACUCGGUAGAACAUCAUCAUGAGCUCAAUGUGACUAAGGAGUUAGUCACACGAUGAUGUGCUACGGAACGAGUAAAGAGACUUACCGGUAACGAGAUUGAACAAGGUAUAGGUAUACCGACGAUCGAAUCUCGGGCAAGUUCUAUACCGACAGACANNNNNNNNNNNNNNNNNNNNNNNNNNNNNNNNNNNNNNNNNNNNNNNNNNNNNNNNNNNNNNNNNNNNNNNNNNNNNNNNNNNNNNNNNNNNNNNNNNNNGGGGGGGGGGGAGGGUGUUAGAUUUGUAUUGCCCCUUUUUUGUAUAUCCCCAUUAUAUAAGGGGUUUCUACCACUUUUACCAUAUGUAUAUAUAUUGGCCUUUGGCCCCUGUGAAUAUUUGCUCAUUAUCUAACAGAUCCAACACAAGGUUGGGUCGAAGCUAGUUUAUAUCUGGGACGUUACACCAACCUCUCAAGCCAAUCCAACAUUGCAGACAGAUUUAUGAUACACUUCCUUUUCACGAGCCCGAGGCAAUGUACCUAUGUCAAAAAAAGUAGGAGUUCGAGGCAAUGUACCUAAUACAAACUGUGAAGCCUUCCCACCUAGGCUAUACAUGAGGUCCUUGAGAUGCUCUAUAAGAUAUCGGUUAAAAGAGAAAACGUCCAAAAUAAGAGAAAUAUAACUAUAUUUUUUUUGUAUUUGUCGCUUCAAAGGAUCAGUAUGUUGGACAAGAAGAGAAGCACUGAAGUAGCAUCACUCAUCAUCAAGGUCAAAAUCGUUGUCCGAUGCGCACUCGAGAUAUGAACCAAUCGACUUGCGGAAGAUGAUGAAAGACUUGUCAUCCUGUGAAAAAAGAAUGCAUUAUUUUGCAGGAAGAGGUGUUUCAAGCCAUGGAACAAAAAAAACUGGCUGGUCAUUCAGCUUUAGGCCUGACGGGUAGCUAAAAAUGAAGUCUAAGAAAUGCAAGCAGUUGUGAAUUUUGCCACACCUGCUUCAUCCUUUUCAGUGAUGGUUUGGCAUUUGUUAUCUUAUCUGAUAAGGUGUCACCAUGUUCUGACAAUGUAGCCGUCUCCUCCCCUGUUUGAAGGAUUUGAGUGUAAGAGCAGCAUAUUUCCAUCCAAGGGAAAUAAUGAAUCCUCUAGCUACUUACUUUGAUAUUCAUACUGCUCAAGCAGUUUCUUUUUCUCAACUUCAAUUUGUGAGGAUAGAUCUGCAUAAUAGGACAUGUAACAAGUCAAAUAAGAGCCAAAUAUUUUUGCAGAUUCAAUGAGAUCUGAACGUCUUUUAUGGGAACAUCAUCCAAAUAAUGCUGAGUCGCUAAUAAGCAGUAGCCAAGCAAUGCAUAUUUAGAAACAACACACAUAAUUUGAAUACAAGUGUCAUGUAGAUUCUAUUUGCAUCAAAACCAGGUAUCUCAAUAUUUUUUCUAAAGAUAAGAAUCACAGCUCAUACGUAGUAGCCGAUUACACCAAAUGAGAAACAACCAUCACACGUCACAAUGCCCUAAAAUCCUAGAUAGACCUGGAUAGAAGCACAUGAUAUACUUGUGAAAAUGACAACCAGCUCUUAUUUGACAUACCUUUGAAGGUUUGUAAGUGUGCAUCAUUUUCUUCGCAGAACAUUUCAUAUGUUUCCUGAAGCUUGGUGUACUCUUCGUUCAAUGAACUUUCACACUGCUAAUAGUGCAAAUUACACGCCAUAAUUCAAUCUUAGGCAAAUCAGCAAGUAAGUCGACAAUUCCAAAGAAUUGUAAACUGUGUACCUCUUUCGAAGUGCUUGACAGUACUUUCAGCAAAUUCUGCCUGCACAUGCAAAUAUAACAGUGACACUACGUUCUAAAUAAAAACGAACAAGCUUCCUUUUCUGACAGAACUGGUUUCAGGCGUAAUUGUUCAUGCAGGCAUCGUUUCACAGUUCACAAGCAAGUGAGUUACCUUUCCUUCUCAAACUUGGACUUGGUAUCUUCAAGCAUAGUCUGAAUAUUGGCUGCAACACUGUCAGGUUUAGAAAAGUAAAGGAAUAAACAGGGUAAGAAGAAGGUAAAAGAAUAAUGAUCAGCAACAUUAUGCGCUUCAAACUUCACAGUUCAGUCAGCGGAGUCCCUGUUAGUCCACAUGUUAUAAUUUUCGGCUUCUUUUCCUCCCCGAUGCCUGUGUAAAUAAUUCUUUGUAAUAGUUCUGAGAAGUUUAUAGAAAUGUUCAGGCUGGCUUUGCCGGCCGUAGUUCUGAAAAUCAACUCACCCGAACAAAGCCACACCAUGACAUAAGUACAAAACAUGAAUCCGGGAACCCAUCAAAUUAAUAUGUCCAUUUUCCUCGCAUCACUCACAAUGCAUAUCGCUCCGCAUAAUAUACAAAAACUGACAUAUCACCGAACGAACCUAGUUCCUGCAUUAAUCACAGAAACAGCCGAGUGGACGCAUUGCAGGAUUGCAAACGUGCAACAUUUAUUUGUAUCCCUCCCAGUGACCAUGAACUGUAAGUUUUCCACACAAAUCCGCCAGCACGAAAUGCAUCAUAAGAAGCUGCUAGGAUAGCAUACGCCGAUCCCAAUUUUUUUGCACGCUAGCACAUAGCGAGAUAAGAGAAAAUUUAGAGGUGCAAGUGCAACCGAAAGAACACUGUUCUCCGCACCUGGCGAUGAUCUGCUCGCACAUCUUCUGGCCAGCCUUGUUGGUCCCGCCCUUGAUCAACCGCAGCAGGCACGCGAUCUGCCUCAAGUCGCUGCGCCCGCCACAAAAGUAGCCAUCACGGAGUUAAAGCGAGAAGGAAUUAGAAACGGGAGACACCGAAUCGAAGAGGAAAAGCUCGAAAUCAGAUGUGCGGCACCUGACGAAAUCGCCGUCAGAUUCCGAGCCGGAGCUGGAGCCGGAAUCGGAACCGGAGCCGAAAUCCACGGGGUGGCGCGGCCUCUUCGACGACCGCAGAGCCUCUUCACCCAGGGACAUCCUCCUUCCGCCGCCGGGACUCGCCGCGGGCCGCAUCGCUGGUCGACGAGCGUAGUGCAGCGCAAUUCGAAAUUUGGAGGGGGAGCGAGAGGGUAGUGAUGUAAUACUGGCAAAAUUUUGGUGGCCCACUCACAGUAUUGGCUUUUGUAAGGGAAAGUGUUCGUGCGCGCAAGGCUACGAGCAACUAGUUCCUCCUCUUGUAAUUUUUUUUUCCUUCGACGCGUCCGUUGAAGUGUUCGGCCGGUCGCGUUCCUUCCUCACGUUUUUCUUCCACCUUUUCCUUUUCCCCUCCCGCGCACACUCGGAUUUUUUCACUGUUUUAACCUUUUUUCUAAANNNNNNCACAAAAUGAACCAGAUUUGAAACCAUUUCACGAUCUGACCCUUUUAAAAACGCCACAAGCCGUGGCGUUGCUNNNNNNNNNNNNNNNNNNNNNNNNNNNNNNNNNNNNNNNNNNNNNNNNNNNNNNNNNNNNNNNNNNNNNNNNNNNNNNNNNNNNNNNNNNNNNNNNNNNNUGGACAAGAAUACAUGGAGUUACUCAAGCCAUUGAAUCAUUUGACUUUGUUUUCAAUCUUCACUUGAUGCUUGUUAUUCUUGGCUAUACAAAUGAGUUGUCCAAAUCUUUGCAAAAGAGAGAUCAAGAUACUAUUAAUGCAGUGGCACUUGUUAGUUUGGCAAAGAGUAGAAUGCGACACAUGAGGUGUCAUGGUUAGGAAGAAUUUCUUGCAAAGCUAACCCUAUUUUGCCAGAAACAUGACAUUCAAGUUCCUUUGUGGGAGGAUACUUAUGCAGGGGCAGAAUUAGCAUGGGUUCACGUCUAGGGCCAAAUUAGCUUCAGUGGUGUAUUUUAGAGAUUUUUUGUACUUAGUAAGUAGGUAUUACAAAGACUAUUGUCACUACACCUAGGGCUAUAGCCCCAUUUUCCCUAGGCCUGAUUCCAACAUUGUACUUAUGAGCAUCAUGGAAUAUCACGUUGGUAUAAUGAAGUUCAAACAAAUGAUGAUCGUUAUAAAAGAGAAGUAUAUCUUGGUGUCAUUGAUCAAACCAUUCUAUCCCAUGGACAUAUCAAGCACGGAUUUGAUAAGGCUAGAAUUUCAACUUGCUACUUUUAUUGAUGAUACGAGACAAGAUGAUAUUGGUGAGCUCUCUAUUUUACUUGUUGCAACAAAGAAUCAUAUUCUCUAUGAUUUGGUCUACUUACUCAUCAAAUUGAUAUUGAUUUUACCGAUGGCAACAACGAGUGUUGAAAGGGUAUUUUCUGCAAUGAAUCUAGUGAAAAAUAAAUUAAGGACUAGUAUGGGUGAUGAUCGUUUGGUGACAAUUAUUAAGCGAGAUGUGUUCAUGAAAGUAAAUGAAGAUGACAUAGUUGAUGCUUUCAUGACAAUGCAACGACGUAGAGUUACCUAGUGUUGUAAUUUUCUACUUCUGUUACUUUCAUGUAAGUCUUUUCUAUUGUAACUGGGCACAUUUGAAAUACAUUUUAUGUACUAAAUGGUUGUGAGAUUUCAAUUGAGCUAUUUAUGUUACUCAUUUGACAUAUUUUGAUACAUUUGGAUUAGGUAGGAAAAAAAUAGAGUGCGCAUGCCCUUUAUUUUAUUCCUGGGUACCCACACAAUGGAACGCAAAAAUAUCCAGCCGAGCGAGCAGUAAAUCCACCAUACGGGAUGUGCAUACUUAAUACUCCUACAUUGCAACAAAUAAUCGUGAAAAAAAAUGGAAAAAGAAACCAUAUGCGAUCAGGCACAUGACGAAGGAAGGGUCACAUGAAUGAAGAAGAGAGAAAAGCCACAUAUCGACCCGAAUAGCGAAGUGUGGGAGCCGCGAUGGCGGGCACUGGCAGCCAUACAUUGGGCUAUCCAAAAUCUCAUCUCUCGCCCAAUCCCGGCCUCACGAUCUCAAUUCUCACCCCGCGUGCACCACAAGCUCCAAUCCCCUAACUCGUAUAUACAGCCACGCCCGCCUCACCGUCCUUGAUCUUCCCCCCUAUCUGAUCGGAUCCUUUGGACAUGGCGUCGCCCAUGCUCUCCACGGCCAUGGCGCCACUCCAGGUAUUGCUCGUGUUCCAUUUCCAUUCCAUGCUUGCGUAGUAGUACAGUUCUUCCAUGUUUGUGACGCGCGGUGGUUAUGUAACUGGACUGCCAUGCAUCCUCUGUCGAUCCAGGGGGGCAUGCUGGAGUUCUCCGGGCUGAGGAGCUCGUCGUCGCUGCCGCUCCGGCGGAAUGCCACCUCCGACGACUUCAUGUCCGCCGUCUCCUUCAGGACAUACGCGGUAUGAUAUGAAUAUGAUGGGCGGAAUGUGGCUGUCACCUAGGAGUACGUAGCUCGCUUGGUCGCAUGCCAUGAGACAUGAGCGGCGCGUGGUACGGUGGUUGCAGGUGAGCACGAGCGGCGGGUCGCGGAAGGCGCCGACGGAGGCGAAGCUCAAGGUGGCGAUCAACGGGUUCGGGCGCAUCGGGCGCAACUUCCUGCGGUGCUGGCACGGGCGCGGCGACAGCUCGCCGCUGGAGGUGAUCGCCAUCAACGACACCGGAGGCGUGAAGCAGGCGUCCCACCUCCUCAAGUACGACUCCACGCUGGGCAUCUUCGACGCGGACGUCAAGCCCGUGGGCGACAACGCCAUCUCCGUCGACGGCAAGGUGAUCAAGGUCGUGUCCGACCGCAACCCCUCCAACCUGCCGUGGGGCGAGAUGGGCAUCGACCUCGUCAUCGAGGGCACCGGCGUCUUCGUCGACCGCGCCGGCGCGGGCAAGCAUCUCGAGGCCGGAGCCAAGAAGGUGCUCAUCACCGCGCCCGGCAAGGGCGACAUCCCCACCUACGUCUGCGGCGUCAACGCCGACCUCUACACCCACGCCGACACCAUCAUCAGCAACGCCUCAUGCACCACCAACUGCCUCGCCCCCUUCGUCAAGGUCCUCGACCAAAAGUUCGGUACGUGCCCGUCUCCCUCCCUCUCUCUCUCUCUCAACUGAAUCAACUUGUUGACGAUGACUAAUGGCGGCGGUGGCAAUGGCGCAGGCAUCAUCAAGGGAACCAUGACCACAACCCACUCGUACACCGGCGACCAGAGGCUGCUCGACGCGAGCCACCGCGACCUGCGCCGUGCCCGCGCCGCCGCCCUCAACAUAGUGCCGACCUCCACCGGCGCGGCCAAGGCCGUGGCGCUGGUGCUCCCCAACCUCAAGGGCAAGCUCAACGGGAUCGCGCUCCGGGUGCCCACCCCCAACGUGUCCGUCGUCGACCUCGUGGUGCAGGUCUCCAAGAAGACCCUCGCCGAGGAGGUGAACCAGGCGUUCCGCGACGCCGCCGCCAACGAGCUCAAGGGCAUCCUCGACGUCUGCGACGAGCCCCUCGUGUCCGUCGACUUCAGGUGCUCCGACGUCUCCUCCACCAUCGACGCGUCGCUCAGCAUGGUCAUGGGAGACGACAUGGUCAAGGUCAUUGCAUGGUACGACAACGAGUGGGGUUACUCCCAGAGGGUCGUCGACCUCGCCGACAUCGUCGCCAACCAAUGGAAGUGAACGCCCCCCCACAGCGGCAUUGCCCUGUCAAGUGACUCCUCUCGAAAUUUUCCCCAGCCGUCGUCACGGAUGAUCGAUUCUUUGUAAUGAGAAUUCAAAGUAUCGAGCUCCCAACAC